CGGCGAACGGGUGAGUAACACGUGAGUAAUCUGCCCUUCACUUUGGGAUAACUGCCUGAAAGGGUGGCUAAUACCGGGUAUUCUCCUUGCACCGCAUGGUGUGGGGUGGGAAGUUUUUUCGGUGGGGGAUGUGCUCGCGGCCUAUCAGCUUGUUGGUGGGGUAAUGGCCUACCAAGGCUUUGACGGGUAGCCGGCCUGAGAGGGUGACCGGCCACACUGGGACUGAGACACGGCCCAG
RNAcentral lists this ribosomal RNA (238 nucleotides) under uncultured bacterium. Its description in RNAcentral is "partial 16S ribosomal RNA". It matches the Rfam family "Bacterial small subunit ribosomal RNA", at positions 96 to 334 of the family's 1533-position model. The record is from RNAcentral.